This 253-nucleotide ribosomal RNA is filed under the name uncultured bacterium. RNAcentral describes it as "partial 16S ribosomal RNA". It matches the Rfam family "Bacterial small subunit ribosomal RNA", at positions 524 to 776 of the family's 1533-position model. The record is from RNAcentral.
GACAGAGGGUGCAAGCGUUGUUCGGAAUUACUGGGCAUAAAGCGCACGUAGGCGGUUCGCUAAGUCUGUCGUGAAAUCCCCCGGCUCAACCGGGGAAUAGCGUCGGAUACUGGCGAGCUCGAGGUCGAUAGGGGUAAGCGGAACUCCAGGUGGAGCGGUGAAAUGCGUAGAUAUCGGGAGGAACACCGGUGGCGAAGGCGGCUUCCUGGACUGUCCCUGACGCUGAGGCGCGAAAGCGUGGGUAGCAAACAGG